Plasmodium knowlesi strain H is the source of this 158-nucleotide non-coding RNA. The record is from Rfam. NCBI's taxonomy places the organism in Eukaryota, Apicomplexa, Aconoidasida, Haemosporida, Plasmodiidae.
ACCAUUGAACGAUUCGAAGAGUUAUUAUUGUGAAUAUUUUUUUCCAAAAAAUAUGUCCAAAAAUAUUAGCUUCAAAUCUGUUCAUAUAACAAAUGUAUAUACGGUGGCUUUUUAAAUUUUUAAUUUUAGAAAUGUCAAUCCAUAUAUAUCACAGAGAA